This 914-nucleotide ribosomal RNA is filed under the name Halomonas sp. RNAcentral's name for it is "bacterial SSU rRNA". It matches the Rfam family "Bacterial small subunit ribosomal RNA", at positions 79 to 995 of the family's 1533-position model. The record is from RNAcentral. Lineage: Bacteria; Pseudomonadati; Pseudomonadota; Gammaproteobacteria; Oceanospirillales; Halomonadaceae.
UGCUGGAUGCUGACGAGCGGCGGACGGGUGAGUAAUGCAUAGGAAUCUACCCGGUAGUGGGGGAUAACCUGGGGAAACCCAGGCUAAUACCGCAUACGUCCUACGGGAGAAAGGGGGCUUUGGCUCCCGCUAUCGGAUGAGCCUAUGCCGGAUUAGCUGGUUGGUGAGGUAACGGCUCACCAAGGCGACGAUCCGUAGCUGGUCUGAGAGGAUGAUCAGCCACAUCGGGACUGAGACACGGCCCGAACUCCUACGGGAGGCAGCAGUGGGGAAUAUUGGACAAUGGGGGCAACCCUGAUCCAGCCAUGCCGCGUGUGUGAAGAAGGCCCUCGGGUUGUAAAGCACUUUCAGCGAGGAAGAACGCCUGGUGGUUAAUACCCGCCAGGAAAGACAUCACUCGCAGAAGAAGCACCGGCUAACUCCGUGCCAGCAGCCGCGGUAAUACGGAGGGUGCAAGCGUUAAUCGGAAUUACUGGGCGUAAAGCGCGCGUAGGUGGCUUGAUAAGCCGGUUGUGAAAGCCCCGGGCUCAACCUGGGAACGGCAUCCGGAACUAUCAGGCUAGAGUGCAGGAGAGGAAGGUAGAAUUCCCGGUGUAGCGGUGAAAUGCGUAGAGAUCGGGAGGAAUACCAGUGGCGAAGGCGGCCUUCUGGACUGACACUGACACUGAGGUGCGAAAGCGUGGGUAGCAAACAGGAUUAGAUACCCUGGUAGUCCACGCCGUAAACGAUGUCGACCAGCCGUUGGGUGCCUAGCGCACUUUGUGGCGAAGUUAACGCGAUAAGUCGACCGCCUGGGGAGUACGGCCGCAAGGUUAAAACUCAAAUGAAUUGACGGGGGCCCGCACAAGCGGUGGAGCAUGUGGUUUAAUUCGAUGCAACGCGAAGAACCUUACCUACCCUUGACAUCCUGCGAA